RNAcentral lists this transfer RNA (84 nucleotides) under Cyanidioschyzon merolae strain 10D. RNAcentral describes it as "tRNA-Leu(CAG)". It matches the Rfam family "tRNA". From Rfam's summary of the family: Transfer RNA (tRNA) molecules are approximately 80 nucleotides in length. Their secondary structure includes four short double-helical elements and three loops (D, anti-codon, and T loops). Further hydrogen bonds mediate the characteristic L-shaped molecular structure. tRNAs have two regions of fundamental functional importance: the anti-codon, which is responsible for specific mRNA codon recognition, and the 3' end, to which the tRNAs corresponding amino acid is attached (by aminoacyl-tRNA synthetases). tRNAs cope with the degeneracy of the genetic code in two manners: having more than one tRNA (with a specific anti-codon) for a particular amino acid; and 'wobble' base-pairing, i.e. permitting non-standard base-pairing at the 3rd anti-codon position. Lineage: Eukaryota; Rhodophyta; Bangiophyceae; Cyanidiales; Cyanidiaceae. The record is from RNAcentral.
GCAGACGUGGCCGAGCGGUCCAAGGCGUGACGUUCAGGUCGUCAUAUGCGUAAGCAUGCGCAGGUUCGAAUCCUGCCGUCUGCA